UCUGCGAUCCUACUCAACACUCGAAGGAAACUCAUCGCCUGCUAGCCCAUCACCAGACAACAGCCCUUCUAAAUCCCAAUCGCCUGUUAAACGUAGGAGAAUGCUCCAUUGUGACACCCCGUCUACAUGCGCACAAGAAAGCAGCGGACAACGAAAAACAAAGCGAAGUUUAAACUACGAGGGUGAUUCUGAAGG
Long non-coding RNA from Dendronephthya gigantea, 195 nucleotides. RefSeq lists it as uncharacterized. The transcript has 2 exons. The record is from RefSeq and is a predicted model, not a curated record. NCBI's taxonomy places the organism in Eukaryota, Metazoa, Cnidaria, Anthozoa, Malacalcyonacea, Nephtheidae.